GACGAACGCUGGCGGCGUGCUUAACACAUGCAAGUCGAACGGAAAGGCCCUGCUUUUGUGGGGUGCUCGAGUGGCGAACGGGUGAGUAACACGUGAGUAACCUGCCCUUGACUUUGGGAUAACUUCAUGAAACUUGGGCUAAUACCGGAUAGGAGCUCCUGCUUCUUGGUGGGGGUUGGAAAGUUUCGGCGGUUGGUGAUGGUCUCGCGGCUGAUCAGCUUGUUGGUGGGGUAGUGGCUUACCAAGGCUUUGCCGGGUAGCCGGGCUGAGAGGGUGACAGGCUCAAUUGGGACUGAGAUACGGCACAGACUCAUACGGGAGGCAGCAGUGGGGAAUAGUGCACAAUGGGCGGAAGCAAAAUGCGGCACCGCCGCGUGCGGGAUAACGGCAUUCGGGUUGUAAACCGAUUUUGUCUGUGACGAAGCGUGAGUGACGGUAAUGGGUAAAGAAGCACCGGCUAACUACGUG
Molecule: ribosomal RNA, 468 nt
Filed under: uncultured bacterium
Lineage: Bacteria
Description: partial 16S ribosomal RNA
Rfam family: Bacterial small subunit ribosomal RNA
Source: RNAcentral